AAGAAGGCCCUCGGGUUGUAAAGCAUUUUCAGCGAGGAAGAACGCCUAGCGGUUAAUACCCGCUAGGAAAGACAUCACUCGCAGAAGAAGCACCGGCUAACUCCGUGCCAGCAGCCGCGGUAAUACGGAGGGUGCAAGCGUUAAUCGGAAUUACUGGGCGUAAAGCGCGCGUAGGUGGCUUGAUAAGCCGGUUGUGAAAGCCCCGGGCUCAACCUGGGAACGGCAUCCGGAACUGUCAAGCUAGAGUGCAGGAGAGGAAGGUAGAAUUCCCGGUGUAGCGGUGAAAUGCGUAGAGAUCGGGAGGAAUACCAGUGGCGAAGGCGGCCUUCUGGACUGACACUGACACUGAGGUGCGAAAGCGUGGGUAGCAAACAGGAUUAGAUACCCUGGUAGUCCACGCCGUAAACGAUGUCGACCAGCCGUUGGGUGCCUAGCGCACUUUGUGGCGAAGUUAACGCGAUAAGUCGACCGCCUGGGGAGUACGGCCGCAAGGUUAAAACUCAAAUGAAUUGACGGGGGCCCGCACAAGCGGUGGAGCAUGUGGUUUAAAUCGAUGGACGCUACAAACCUUUCUAACUC
Molecule: ribosomal RNA, 579 nt
Filed under: Halomonas sp. HZBC9
Lineage: Bacteria; Pseudomonadati; Pseudomonadota; Gammaproteobacteria; Oceanospirillales; Halomonadaceae
Description: bacterial SSU rRNA
Rfam family: Bacterial small subunit ribosomal RNA
Source: RNAcentral